RNAcentral lists this long non-coding RNA (844 nucleotides) under Homo sapiens (human). RNAcentral's name for it is "HSALNT0381336". The record is from RNAcentral. Lineage: Eukaryota; Metazoa; Chordata; Mammalia; Primates; Hominidae.
CCCACCCCAAAUUCACAUGUUGAAGCCCUAACCUCCAAUGUGAUGGUAUUUGGAGAUGGGGCCUUUGGAAGGUAAUUAAGGCUAGAUAGGGUCACAAGGUUGGUCCCCUUAUGAUGGCAUUUGUGUUCUUAUACAAAGAGACAGGAGACUCUCUCCAUCAUGUGAAGAUACAGCAAAACAGCAGCUGUCUGCAAGCCAGGAAGGGAACCCUCACCAGGAACCAAACCAUGAUCUCGGACGUCCCAGCCUCUAGGAACGCCUUUCCAUCUUCCUAGAGUGCCUAACCUGGCCUGUGUGCUUGUAAGCUUCUGCUCAUUCUUCAAUACCCAGCAGAGACUUCCUCCUCCAUGCAGCCUUCCAAGACCCACCUGAGUACAGAAAUUGGCUCUUCCUCCUGCUGGUCCUGAGGCACUCCAUGUUCAUCCUAAGAAAGAUCAGAUACCAUCAGCAUAAUGUCAUCAAUGCAGUGGACCAGUGUGACAUGGGGAACAUAAAGAUGGUCACGAUUUUUGCAGACUCCAUAUGCAAAGUAUUAUAGGCCUUUCCAUCUAUCCGGAGUGACCUACCAGAGACAGGACAGUUUGACCAGCAAGCUUCUGAUCACUCUUCAACACCCAGCAAGAAGUCUUAUCCUCCAUGCAGCCUUCUAAGACCUCUCUAAGCACAGGUAUCAGAUCCUCCUCUGGAUCACUCUGUCUUGUUACUGCAUUUAUCUCACUGGAUUUCAGUGACGUGUGUAGACAACUAAUUUGUGCCUGCCUGAUCUGUGAGCUCUUCAUUCAAAGCAGUUGGCUCCUGAGUACAGGAUAAACCCCUAGAAUUGAAUAAAUUUGGUCUUACCUCA